UUAAAUGAUGAAGCAAAUUUUACAGACCUGUUCCGAGUUCAAAAUGCGGACAAACACUUAUUGCCUAUUUUUCUGAUC
This 78-nucleotide small nucleolar RNA is filed under the name Lobosporangium transversale. RNAcentral's name for it is "Small nucleolar RNA snR56". It matches the Rfam family "Small nucleolar RNA snR56". The record is from Rfam by way of RNAcentral. Lineage: Eukaryota; Fungi; Mortierellomycota; Mortierellomycetes; Mortierellales; Mortierellaceae.